GCUCAAGUCGCUUAGCUUGGUAGAGCGCUGGUCUGCUAAACCAGUACGUUUAUGCGUGCGGGGGUUCAAUUCAAAAGGAGACUUACUCUUAAAAGAACACAUCCCCCCUUGAGCG
Molecule: transfer RNA, 115 nt
Filed under: Promethearchaeota archaeon
Lineage: Archaea; Promethearchaeati; Promethearchaeota
Description: Candidatus Lokiarchaeota archaeon (microbial mat metagenome) tRNA-Ser
Rfam family: tRNA
About the family: Transfer RNA (tRNA) molecules are approximately 80 nucleotides in length. Their secondary structure includes four short double-helical elements and three loops (D, anti-codon, and T loops).
Source: RNAcentral